GCUAGGAUGGUGUAACGGUAGCAUAGAAGCCUGUGGAGCUUCAGGUGCGGGUUCGAAUCCCGCUCCUAGCC
This is a transfer RNA of 71 nucleotides. It matches the Rfam family "tRNA". From Rfam's summary of the family: Transfer RNA (tRNA) molecules are approximately 80 nucleotides in length. Their secondary structure includes four short double-helical elements and three loops (D, anti-codon, and T loops).